GCCCGGAUGGCGAAAUCGGUAGACGCAAGGGACUUAAAAUCCCUCGGGGGUAACCCCGUGCCGGUUCGACCCCGGCUCCGGKCACCA
This 87-nucleotide transfer RNA is filed under the name Pseudomonas aeruginosa. RNAcentral describes it as "tRNA-Leu". It matches the Rfam family "tRNA". Rfam says of the family: Transfer RNA (tRNA) molecules are approximately 80 nucleotides in length. Their secondary structure includes four short double-helical elements and three loops (D, anti-codon, and T loops). Lineage: Bacteria; Pseudomonadati; Pseudomonadota; Gammaproteobacteria; Pseudomonadales; Pseudomonadaceae. The record is from RNAcentral.